This 497-nucleotide ribosomal RNA is filed under the name uncultured bacterium. RNAcentral's name for it is "partial 16S ribosomal RNA". It matches the Rfam family "Bacterial small subunit ribosomal RNA", at positions 28 to 507 of the family's 1533-position model. The record is from RNAcentral.
GACGAACGCUGGCGGCGUGCCUAAUACAUGCAAGUAGAACGCUGAAGAGAGGAGCUUGCUCUUCUUGGAUGAGUUGCGAACGGGUGAGUAACGCGUAGGUAACCUGCCUUGUAGCGGGGGAUAACUAUUGGAAACGAUAGCUAAUACCGCAUAACAAUGGAUGACACAUGUCAUUUAUUUGAAAGGGGCAAUUGCUCCACUACAAGAUGGACCUGCGUCGGAUUAGCUAGUAGGUGAGGGAAUGGCUCAACUAGGCGAAGAUACAGAGCCGAACUGAGAGGGUGAUCGGCCCAACUGGGAACGGGAACACGGCCAAAACCCUAACGGGAGCAGCAGGAGGGAAUCCUUCGGAAUGGGGGGAAACCCGGACGAGGAAAGGCGGGGGGGUUAAGAAGGGUCUCCGGUCGUAAAGCUCUGUUGAAAGGCAAGAAAGGGUGUGAGAGUGGAAAGUUCACGCUGUGACGGUAGCUAAUCAGAAAGGGACGGCUAACUACGUG